Brassica napus (rape) is the source of this 209-nucleotide long non-coding RNA. RefSeq lists it as uncharacterized. The transcript has 3 exons. The record is from RefSeq and is a predicted model, not a curated record. NCBI's taxonomy places the organism in Eukaryota, Viridiplantae, Streptophyta, Magnoliopsida, Brassicales, Brassicaceae.
GUUGCUCUAGUGGAUGAGUUUUGGGUGCUUCUUGGUUAUUGUAUAUUCACAAUGGCACUAUACAUGCAUUUUGCAACCUCAGUCAUUCAUGAAAUCACUACUGCACUUGGAAUCUACUGCUUCAGGAUUACACGUAAGGAAGCUUGAAGGAAGCUCAAGGGAGGAUAAUGCAAAUCCCAACACGAAUCUUAAUAUUAUUUUUCACUGAA